UACAGGGGGGGCAAGCGUUGUUCGGAAUUACUGGGCGUAAAGGGUUUGUAGGUGGCUUGCUUAGUCAUACGUGAAAUCCCUCAGCUUAACUGGGGAACUGCGCCUGAUACUGGUUGGCUUGAGUUUGGGAGAGGGACGCGGAAUUCCAGGUGUAGCGGUGAAAUGCGUAGAUAUCUGGAGGAACACCGGUGGCGAAGGCGGCAUCCUGGACCGGCAUUGACGCUGAGGAGCGAAAGCCAGGGGAGCAAACGGG
This 253-nucleotide ribosomal RNA is filed under the name uncultured bacterium. RNAcentral's name for it is "partial 16S ribosomal RNA". It matches the Rfam family "Bacterial small subunit ribosomal RNA", at positions 524 to 776 of the family's 1533-position model. The record is from RNAcentral.